GAAUCCCACUUCUGGGUAUAUAUCCAAAAGAAUUUAGAUCAGAUUCAUUGCACCAUUAUUCACAAUAGCCAAGAGGUGGAAACAACCUAAAUGUCCAUUAGUAGAUGAAUGGACAAGAAAAUGGGGUGUAUGCAUACAAUGGAAUGUUACUCAACAUUUCAAAAAGAAGAAAAUGCUACCAUUUGUGAUAACACGGAUGGACCUGGAAGACAUUACGAUAAGUGAAGUACUGAAUAGGACAGACACAGAAGGACAAAUACUGCAUGAUUCCACUUAUAUGAGGAAUCUAAAAUCCAUAGUCAAACUUACAGAAACAGAGAGUAGACUGAUGGGUUGUGUAACCGAGCAGGGCACUAUGAGACUUUCCCAGAAUAGACCCCCUCCUAUGUCCUCCGCCUGCCUUUUGGUUUGGGGAAGAACUUUAGUCGCCGAAUAAAAUUUAAUCAGAGAAGUGAGAAAAUGCAGAAAGAAAGGGAAACAGUCAAGCAAGACAAAGUAAUAAUUCUUUAGCCAUGAAACAAAGUCAAGGACCUUUAGUUCUUCCCCAAGAACUAUAGGUAAUAUUCUGAGCCAUGUCCUCUGAGCUGUUUUACAGAUACUGAAACCCACCCCCCAAGGUGAAAGAAGUUAACGGUAUGCUGCCCACAAGCACGGAGACCCCAGACCGGCUGGAACCAGAAGUCUGAUGAUGCUGAGUCCCCAUUACCUCACCAUCAACCAGUCAGAAGAAUGUCCACGAGCUGAUCACGCCCUGCUCCUUGAGCACUAACUAGCCCGAAACUGGCCCUAUCCUGUUUCUAACAAGAUACUGAACUGUUUCUCUGAGACAGCAGAACAACCGCAAGUCAUGCAGCCGAAGCAGGCACAGACGAGAAAAUUUUGACUUCAAACAACACACGGAACCCUUUCAGAAGGGAAGGGUCCAUUGUCCAAGAUCCCAUGCUGAAGCCCCUUCCCCAUACUUUACCAUAUAUGGCCAGGUUCCAAAGCCUUCCAAUCGAAACUUGCACCCCAGCGCUUCCAAAUACCUAUCCUCCCCUAACUCAUAGAAGUUUGAUGGAACCCCCCCAUCAGAGAAGCUCAUUAGAGCCGUGCCCUCCUGUCUCCUUGCUGGUUGACCUUGCAAUAGAGCUUUUUCUUUUCUCAAAAGCAGAUGCUAUAGUAUUGGCUUCUACGCACGUCGGAAAGCAAGCCCUUUGCUCGGUAACACGUACAUCAUGAAAUGAUUAUCACAAUAAGUUUACUGAACGUCUAUUAUAUAGGUACAAAAAUAUUUUUCCUUGUGAUGAGAAUUCUUAGGAUUUACUCUACUGACAACUUUCAUAUAUAACAUGCAACAGUGCUAAUUAUAUUUAUUAUGUGGUGUUUCAUUAACUUUUCAUAACCCACAGGAGGUACUACUAUUAGCAUCAUUUUACAGGGGACUAAACUGAUCAUAGGAGAAGUGAAGUAACUUGCCCGAAGUUACACAGUUAGUAGUAAACCAGGAACUGAAUACCCAUUACACAAUCCCAAAAUUGUAAUUUUUCUAGAACAGCACACCACUUUGCCAAAUAACUUUUUCACCACUAUAUAUUGCUGAUUUCAUGUAAUUAAGUGAAUUUCUUUUGACAGUGGGAUGAAAAUAAGAUUAGAAGGAUCAAGAAACACUAUCUAAAAUAUUGAGACUACUUUAUGAAAUAUGUCCUAAUCUUUAUAUAUAUUGGCUUGAGCUUGAUUUGUAUAUUUAUUUGUUGAUUUUCCAUCUUCUUCUAAAAUAUAUAAGCCUUAUAAAGAGAAAAAAACUGUUCUCCAAAGUAUCUCCAUCACUUAGAACACAGACUAGCACGUGGUAAAUGUAAACUGUUUGACGAAUGAAUGACUUAAUGAUGAGACAACACAUUUACUAUUAUUUCCUUAAUUUUUUUCCUUCAGAAGUGUCUCUAUUUAUAGUUUUAAAUUAAUUUUUAUUGAAAAUAGUUGAUGUACCUUAAUUUGUAUUUUAAUUCACAUUGUAUAUAACAUUUAAUACUUUUUUCCCUAUCUCUACCAGAUAUUAGUAUGCUAUGAAAGUGCUUUAAAUUUCAUAAGCAUUUCCUGAAUCAUAAUAAAAUGUUCAAAAACA
Long non-coding RNA from Aethalodelphis obliquidens (Pacific white-sided dolphin), 2104 nucleotides. RefSeq lists it as uncharacterized. The record is from RefSeq and is a predicted model, not a curated record. Lineage: Eukaryota; Metazoa; Chordata; Mammalia; Artiodactyla; Delphinidae. The transcript has 2 exons.